CAGUCAUUUACUACAGGAUGAACUCUGUUCAUUAAAAACCAUCAGGUUUUUGAAAAGUCCUGCUGCAGAGGAAGCGUGUGAGUAUCUCACUGGAGUUCUGGGUAAAAGUCCAUUACUACUGAAAGGACUGGAUCUGAGUGAAGAUAAAUUAGGAGAUCUGGAUGGGGAGAAACUCUCUGCUCUUUUGAUGGACUCUCAUAGCAAACUGGAGAAAAUAAUGCUGAAUAAUUGUGAUCUGACAGAGAAAAGCUGUUCAGUUCUAGCUAUUGUUCUCUCCUCCAAAACCAUCCUGAAAGAGAUGAACCUGAACAACAGUUGUCUGCUGGAUUCAGGAGUCAAAGAGAUCUGUGAGGGACUGAAGAAUCGUGUGUGUGAGCUGAAUAU
This is a long non-coding RNA of Labeo rohita (rohu), 384 nucleotides long. RefSeq lists it as uncharacterized. NCBI's taxonomy places the organism in Eukaryota, Metazoa, Chordata, Actinopteri, Cypriniformes, Cyprinidae. The record is from RefSeq and is a predicted model, not a curated record. The transcript is spliced from 3 exons.